AGAGUUUGAUUAUGGCUCAGGAUGAACGCUAGCGACAGGCUUAACACAUGCAAGUCGAGGGGCAGCAUAAAAGUAGCAAUACUUGGUGGCGACCGGCGCACGGGUGAGUAACGCGUAUGCAACCUACCUAUCAGAGGGGAAUAACCCGGCGAAAGUCGGACUAAUACCGCAUAAAACAGGGGCACCGCAUGGUGAUAUUUGUUAAAGAAAUUCGCUGAUAGAUGGGCAUGCGUUCCAUUAGGUAGUUGGUGAGGUAACGGCUCACCAAGCCGACGAUGGAUAGGGGAACUGAGAGGUUGGUCCCCCACACUGGUACUGAGACACGGACCAGACUCCUACGGGAGGCAGCAGUGAGGAAUAUUGGUCAAUGGGCGGGAGCCUGAACCAGCCAAGUCGCCGUGAAGGAAGAAGGAUCUAUGGUUCGUAAACUUCUUUUGCAGGGGAAUAAAGUGCAGGACGUGUCCUGUUUUGUAUGUACCCUGAGAAUAAGGAUCGGCUAACUCCGUGCCAGCCGCCGC
This 518-nucleotide ribosomal RNA is filed under the name uncultured bacterium. Its description in RNAcentral is "bacterial SSU rRNA". It matches the Rfam family "Bacterial small subunit ribosomal RNA", at positions 8 to 518 of the family's 1533-position model. The record is from RNAcentral.